RNAcentral lists this ribosomal RNA (253 nucleotides) under uncultured bacterium. RNAcentral describes it as "partial 16S ribosomal RNA". It matches the Rfam family "Bacterial small subunit ribosomal RNA", at positions 524 to 776 of the family's 1533-position model. The record is from RNAcentral.
UACGGAGGCCCCAAGCGUUGUUCGGAUUUAUUGGGCGUAAAGGGUGCGUAGGCGGCGUGGUAAGUCUGGUGUGAAAGGCGGGGGCUCAACCCCCGGACUGCAUUGGAUACUGCCAUGCUAGAGGACUGGAGAGGAGAAUGGAAUUCACGGUGGAGCAGUGAAAUGCGUAGAUAUCGUGAGGAAGGCCAGUGGCGAAGGCGAUUCUCUGGACAGUACCUGACGCUGAGGCACGAAGGCUGGGGGAGCGAACAGG